RNAcentral lists this ribosomal RNA (415 nucleotides) under Caulobacter segnis. Its description in RNAcentral is "bacterial SSU rRNA". It matches the Rfam family "Bacterial small subunit ribosomal RNA", at positions 12 to 456 of the family's 1533-position model. The record is from RNAcentral. Lineage: Bacteria; Pseudomonadati; Pseudomonadota; Alphaproteobacteria; Caulobacterales; Caulobacteraceae.
UUUGAUCCUGGCUCAGAGCGAACGCUGGCGGCAGGCCUAACACAUGCAAGUCGAACGGAUCCUUCGGGAUUAGUGGCGGACGGGUGAGUAACACGUGGGAACGUGCCCUUUGGUUCGGAACAACUCAGGGAAACUUGAGCUAAUACCGGAUGUGCCCUUCGGGGGAAAGAUUUAUCGCCAUUGGAGCGGCCCGCGUCUGAUUAGCUAGUUGGUGAGGUAAAGGCUCACCAAGGCGACGAUCAGUAGCUGGUCUGAGAGGAUGAUCAGCCACAUUGGGACUGAGACACGGCCCAAACUCCUACGGGAGGCAGCAGUGGGGAAUCUUGCGCAAUGGGCGAAAGCCUGACGCAGCCAUGCCGCGUGAAUGAUGAAGGUCUUAGGAUUGUAAAAUUCUUCACCGGGGACGAUAAUGACG